UGCAUCAGCCGUGAAUCGAACACGGGGCCCAUCGAUGGCAACGAUGGAUUUUACCACUAAACCACUGAUGC
RNAcentral lists this transfer RNA (71 nucleotides) under Podospora comata. RNAcentral also lists the same sequence under 4 other names. Lineage: Eukaryota; Fungi; Ascomycota; Sordariomycetes; Sordariales; Podosporaceae. The record is from RNAcentral.